UAGUCAACAAGUGCCUUCAUGUUUUGUCUCC
RNAcentral lists this non-coding RNA (31 nucleotides) under Homo sapiens (human). The record is from RNAcentral. Lineage: Eukaryota; Metazoa; Chordata; Mammalia; Primates; Hominidae.